GGAGUUGUGGCUCAGCGGUAGAGCGCUCGCCUAGCAUGUGUGAGGCCUUGGGUUUAUACCUUAGCUCCA
Molecule: transfer RNA, 69 nt
Filed under: Marmota monax (woodchuck)
Lineage: Eukaryota; Metazoa; Chordata; Mammalia; Rodentia; Sciuridae
Rfam family: tRNA
About the family: Transfer RNA (tRNA) molecules are approximately 80 nucleotides in length.
Source: Rfam by way of RNAcentral